GAUGAACGCUAGCGGCAGGCCUAACACAUGCAAGUCGAGGGGUAGUUACUUUCGGGUAAUGAGACCGGCGCACGGGUGCGUAACGCGUAUGCAAUCUACCUUUUACAGGGGAAUAGCCCAGAGAAAUUUGGAUUAAUGCCCCAUAGUAUGUAUGAAUCGCAUGGUUUAUACAUUAAAGUUCCAACGGUAAAAGAUGAGCAUGCGUCCCAUUAGUUAGUUGGUAAGGUAACGGCUUACCAAGACGAUGAUGGGUAGGGGUCCUGAGAGGGAGAUCCCCCACACUGGUACUGAGACACGGACCAGACUCCUACGGGAGGCAGCAGUGAGGAAUAUUGGACAAUGGGCGCAAGCCUGAUCCAGCCAUGCCGCGUGCAGGAAGAAGCAUCUAUGGAUUGUAAACUGCUUUUAUACAAGAAGAAACACUCCCUCGUGAGGGAACUUGACGGUACUGUAUGAAUAAAGGACCGGCUAACUCCGUGCCAGCAGCCGCGGUAAAGUG
RNAcentral lists this ribosomal RNA (499 nucleotides) under uncultured bacterium. Its description in RNAcentral is "bacterial SSU rRNA". It matches the Rfam family "Bacterial small subunit ribosomal RNA", at positions 28 to 527 of the family's 1533-position model. The record is from RNAcentral.